AAGGGUUUGAUCCUGGCUCAGAUUGAACGCUGGCGGCAGGCCUAACACAUGCAAGUCGAGCGGAUGAAGGGAGCUUGCUCCUGGAUUCAGCGGCGGACGGGUGAGUAAUGCCUAGGAAUCUGCCUGGUAGUGGGGGAUAACGUCCGGAAACGGGCGCUAAUACCGCAUACGUCCUGAGGGAGAAAGUGGGGGAUCUUCGGACCUCACGCUAUCAGAUGAGCCUAGGUCGGAUUAGCUAGUUGGUGGGGUAAAGGCCUACCAAGGCGACGAUCCGUAACUGGUCUGAGAGGAUGAUCAGUCACACUGGAACUGAGACACGGUCCAGACUCCUACGGGAGGCAGCAGUGGGGAAUAUUGGACAAUGGGCGAAAGCCUGAUCCAGCCAUGCCGCGUGUGUGAAGAAAGUCUUCGGAUUGUAAAGCACUUUU
This 428-nucleotide ribosomal RNA is filed under the name uncultured bacterium. RNAcentral describes it as "bacterial SSU rRNA". It matches the Rfam family "Bacterial small subunit ribosomal RNA", at positions 1 to 437 of the family's 1533-position model. The record is from RNAcentral.